UACGUAGGGGGCAAGCGUUAUCCGGAAUUACUGGGCGUAAAGCGCACGCAGGCGGUCUGCCAAGUUCGGGGUGACAGUUUCCGGCUCAACCGGGAAAGGACUUUGAAAACUGGUAGACUUGAGAGCGAGAGAGGAACAUGGAACUCCAGGUGUAGUAGUGAAAUGCGUAGAUAUCUGGAAGAACACCAAAGGCGUAGGCAAUGUUCUGGCUCGUUUCUGACGCUCAGGUGCGAAAGCCAGGGGAGCGAACGGG
This 253-nucleotide ribosomal RNA is filed under the name uncultured prokaryote. Its description in RNAcentral is "partial 16S ribosomal RNA". It matches the Rfam family "Bacterial small subunit ribosomal RNA", at positions 524 to 776 of the family's 1533-position model. The record is from RNAcentral.